GACGAACGCUGGCGGCGUGCUUAACACAUGCAAGUCGAGCGGAAAGGCCCUGCUUUUGUGGGGUGCUCGAGUGGCGAACGGGUGAGUAACACGUGAGUAACCUGCCCUUGACUUUGGGAUAACUUCAGGAAACUGGGGCUAAUACCGGAUAGGAGCUCCUGCUGCAUGGUGGGGGUUGGAAAGUUUCGGCGGUUGGGGAUGGACUCGCGGCUUAUCAGCUUGUUGGUGGGGUAGUGGCUUACCAAGGCUUUGACGGGUAGCCGGCCUGAGAGGGUGACCGGCCACAUUGGGACUGAGAUACGGCCCAGACUCCUACGGUAGGCAGCAGUGGGGAAUAUUGCACAAUGGGCGGAAGCCUGAUGCAGCAACGCCGCGUGCGGGAUGACGGCCUUCGGGUUGUAAACCGCUUUCGCCUGUGACGAAGCGUGAGUGACGGUAAUGGGUAAAGAAGCACCGGCUAACUACGUG
Molecule: ribosomal RNA, 468 nt
Filed under: uncultured bacterium
Lineage: Bacteria
Description: partial 16S ribosomal RNA
Rfam family: Bacterial small subunit ribosomal RNA
Source: RNAcentral